GACGAACGCUGGCGGCGUGCUUAACACAUGCAAGUCGAGCGGUAAGGCCCUUUCGGGGUACGACGAGCGGCGAACGGUGAGUAACACGUGGGUGACCUGCCCUCCAGCUCUGGGAGUAAGCCUGGGAAACCGGGUCUAAUACCGGAUAUGACUCCAUGACGCAUGUUGUGGGGUGGAAAGCCUUGUGCGGCUGAGGAUGGGCCCGCGGCCUAUCAGCUUGUUGGUGGGGUGAUGGCCUACCAAGGCGACGACGGGUAGCCGGCCUGAGAGGGCGACCGGCCACACUGGGACUGAGACACGGCCCAGACUCCUACGGGAGGCAGCAGUGGGGAAUCUUGCGCAAUGGGCGAAAGCCUGACGCAGCGACGCCGCGUGAGGGAUGACGGCCUGG
RNAcentral lists this ribosomal RNA (391 nucleotides) under uncultured bacterium. RNAcentral describes it as "bacterial SSU rRNA". It matches the Rfam family "Bacterial small subunit ribosomal RNA", at positions 28 to 419 of the family's 1533-position model. The record is from RNAcentral.